Molecule: ribosomal RNA, 492 nt
Filed under: uncultured bacterium
Lineage: Bacteria
Description: bacterial SSU rRNA
Rfam family: Bacterial small subunit ribosomal RNA
Source: RNAcentral
UGAACGCUGGCGGCGUGCCUAACACAUGCAAGUCGAACGAAGCACUGCGGAUGGAGAUUCGUCAAAAUCUGCUUUGACUUAGUGGCGGACGGGUGAGUAAUGUGUGAGCAACCUGCCUUUCAGAGGGGGACAACAGUUGGAAACGACUGCUAAUACCGCAUAAUGUAUUGGAAGGGCAUCCUUUUGAUACCAAAGGAGCAAUCCGCUGAAAGAUGGGCUCACAUCUGAUUAGCUAGUUGGUGGGGUAACGGCCUACCAAGGCUGCGAUCAGUAGUCGGACUGAGAGGUUGAACGGCCACAUUGGGACUGAGAUACGGCCCAGACUCCUACGGGAGGCAGCAGUGGGGAAUAUUGGGCAAUGGGCGAAAGCCUCGACCCAGCAACGCCGCGUGAAGGAAGAAGGUCUUCGGAUUGUAAACUUCUUUUAUGAGGGACGAAGGACGUGACGGUACCUCAUGAAUAAGCCACGGCUAACUACGUGCCAGCCGCAGC